UGGGGAAUAUUGGACAAUGGGCGCAAGCCUGAUCCAGCCAUGCCGCGUGAGUGACGAAGGCCUUAGGGUUGUAAAGCUCUUUUGGCGGGGACGAUAAUGACGGUACCCGCAGAAUAAGCCCCGGCUAACUUCGUGCCAGCAGCCGCGGUAAUACGAAGGGGGCUAGCGUUGUUCGGAAUUACUGGGCGUAAAGCGCACGUAGGCGGAUAUGUAAGUCAGGGGUGAAAUCCCGGGGCUCAACCUCGGAACUGCCUUUGAUACUGCAUGUCUUGAGUCCGAGAGAGGUGAGUGGAAUUCCUAGUGUAGAGGUGAAAUUCGUAGAUAUUAGGAAGAACACCAGUGGCGAAGGCGGCUCACUGGCUCGGUACUGACGCUGAGGUGCGAAAGCGUGGGGAGCAAACAGGAUUAGAUACCCCCGUAGUCC
This 424-nucleotide ribosomal RNA is filed under the name uncultured prokaryote. RNAcentral describes it as "bacterial SSU rRNA". It matches the Rfam family "Bacterial small subunit ribosomal RNA", at positions 355 to 796 of the family's 1533-position model. The record is from RNAcentral.